This 85-nucleotide ribosomal RNA is filed under the name Acanthosepion pharaonis. The record is from RNAcentral. Lineage: Eukaryota; Metazoa; Mollusca; Cephalopoda; Sepiida; Sepiidae.
UAAAUACCGGGUCCCGUACGACGACCGAAGUUAAGCAACGUCGAGCCUGGUCAGUACCUAGAUGGGUGACCAUUUCGGAAUACCU